AUGGAUGAAAAAUACAAAAAAGGAAGAAGAAAAAAACCCAGCUUUUUCUAUGCAAAAGACAUUUAUGAUGGCAACUCUCCUGGUUAUUGUGUUCAAAGAGAAUUAUUUCCAGUAAGGUUGUUGGCUGCUGAGAAAAGAGGCAUUGUGUUGCCUUGGUGUUUGAUGAACUGGAAGUGUGGAUGCCACAGCUUUCAUGGAAACAAGGAGCAACAUGAAGAGGAAUGCAAGUUCAUCGUCGUCGUCUUAGAACUGCAGAGUUGGAAGGGACCCUGAGAAGGCACAGUAGGGAAUCAAACUCCCAUCUGCAGCCAGAUACCUAAACCUCCAGCAGUUCUCUACAAUCUUCUUCUUCACAGGUAUGGCUUUAAUUUCCCUGGCACCUCACAAUAACUUACUGUUU
This 400-nucleotide long non-coding RNA is filed under the name Pogona vitticeps (central bearded dragon). RNAcentral describes it as "lncRNA (ENSPVIG00000007832.1)". Lineage: Eukaryota; Metazoa; Chordata; Lepidosauria; Squamata; Agamidae. The record is from RNAcentral.